UACGUAGGGGGCAAGCGUUAUCCGGAUUCACUAGGCGUAAAGGGAGCGCAGGCGGCACGGCAAGUCUGGUGUGAAAACCCGGGGCUCAACCCCGGGACUGCAUUGGAAACUGCCGGGCUGGAGUGUCGGAGGGGUAAGCGGAAUUCCUAGUGUAGCGGUGAAAUGCGUAGAUAUUAGGAGGAACACCAGUGGCGAAGGCGGCUUACUGGACGAUGACUGACGCUGAGGCUCGAAAGCGUGGGGAGCAAACAGG
This 253-nucleotide ribosomal RNA is filed under the name uncultured bacterium. RNAcentral describes it as "partial 16S ribosomal RNA". It matches the Rfam family "Bacterial small subunit ribosomal RNA", at positions 524 to 776 of the family's 1533-position model. The record is from RNAcentral.